MicroRNA precursor from Schistosoma mansoni, 78 nucleotides. It matches the Rfam family "mir-3492 microRNA precursor family". Lineage: Eukaryota; Metazoa; Platyhelminthes; Trematoda; Strigeidida; Schistosomatidae. The record is from Rfam.
AGCUUUUUGGAUCCGUGCAGAGAUUUCAUCAGACACCACUCCAUUAGGGCUGAACAGACUUCCAAGAUAAAUGAAGUU